GCGCUGGUGCUGGAACUGGCAGACAGGCGUGGUUGAGGGCCACGUGCCCGUUAGGGCGUGCGGGUUCAACUCCCGCCCAGCGCACUA
RNAcentral lists this transfer RNA (87 nucleotides) under Anaerolineaceae bacterium. RNAcentral describes it as "tRNA-Leu". It matches the Rfam family "tRNA". Rfam says of the family: Transfer RNA (tRNA) molecules are approximately 80 nucleotides in length. Their secondary structure includes four short double-helical elements and three loops (D, anti-codon, and T loops). Further hydrogen bonds mediate the characteristic L-shaped molecular structure. tRNAs have two regions of fundamental functional importance: the anti-codon, which is responsible for specific mRNA codon recognition, and the 3' end, to which the tRNAs corresponding amino acid is attached (by aminoacyl-tRNA synthetases). tRNAs cope with the degeneracy of the genetic code in two manners: having more than one tRNA (with a specific anti-codon) for a particular amino acid; and 'wobble' base-pairing, i.e. permitting non-standard base-pairing at the 3rd anti-codon position. The record is from RNAcentral. RNAcentral also lists the same sequence under 1 other name. Lineage: Bacteria; Bacillati; Chloroflexota; Anaerolineae; Anaerolineales; Anaerolineaceae.